RNAcentral lists this ribosomal RNA (475 nucleotides) under uncultured bacterium. RNAcentral's name for it is "bacterial SSU rRNA". It matches the Rfam family "Bacterial small subunit ribosomal RNA", at positions 37 to 507 of the family's 1533-position model. The record is from RNAcentral.
UGGCGGCGUGCCUAACACAUGCAAGUCGAACGGAGUUUUAUGGAAUGCGACUUCGGUCAAAUGAAGUUUAAACUUAGUGGCGGACGGGUGAGUAACGCGUGAGCAACCUGCCUUACAGAGGGGGACAACAGUUGGAAACGACUGCUAAUACCGCAUAACGUGCCGGAAGGACAUCCUUUUGGUACCAAAGGAGCAAUCCGCUGUAAGAUGAGCUUGCGUCUGAUUAGCUAGUUGGUGAGGUAACGGCUCACCAAGGCGACGAUCGGUAGCCGGACUGAGAGGUUGAACGGCCACAUUGGAACUGAGAUACGGUCCAGACUCCUACGGGAGGCAGCAGUGGGGAAUAUUGGGCAAUGGGCGAAAGCCUGACCCAGCGACGCCGCGUGAGGGAAGAAGAUCUUCGGAUUGUAAACCUUAGUCAACAGGGAAGAAGAAAGUGACGGUACCUGUGGAGGAAGCCACGGCUAACUACGUG